AGGCGGCGACGGGUAGCCGGCCUGAGAGGGUGGACGGCCACAUUGGGACUGAGAUACGGCCCAGACUCCUACGGGAGGCAGCAGUGGGGAAUAUUGCACAAUGGGCGCAAGCCUGAUGCAGCGACGCCGCGUGGGGGAUGACGGCCUUCGGGUUGUAAACUCCUUUCGCUAGGGACGAAGCUUUUUGUGACGGUACCUAGAUAAGAAGCACCGGCUAACUACGUGCCAGCAGCCGCGGUAAUACGUAGGGUGCGAGCGUUGUCCGGAAUUACUGGGCGUAAAGGGCUCGUAGGUGGUUUGUCGCGUCGUCUGUGAAAUUCCGGGGCUUAACUCCGGGCGUGCAGGCGAUACGGGCAUAACUUGAGUACUGUAGGGGUAACUGGAAUUCCUGGUGUAGCGGUGAAAUGCGCAGAUAUCAGGAGGAACACCGAUGGCGAAGGCAGGUUACUGGGCAGUUACUGACGCUGAGGAGCGAAAGCAUGGGUAGCGAACAGGAUUAGAUACCCUGGUAGUCCAUGCCGUAAACGGUGGGCGCUAGGUGUGAGGGUCUUUUCACGACUUUCGUGCCGUAGCUAACGCAUUAAGCGCCCCGCCUGGGGAGUACGGCCGCAAGGCUAAAACUCAAAGGAAUUGACGGGGGCCCGCACAAGCAGCGGAGCAUGUGGAUUAAUUCGAUGCAACGCGAAGAACCUUACCUGGGCUUGACAUACACCGGAUCGGGCUAGAGAUAGUCUUUCCCUUUGUGGCUGGUGUACAGGUGGUGCAUGGUUGUCGUCAGCUCGUGUCGUGAGAUGUUGGGUUAAGUCCCGCAACGAGCGCAACCCUUGUCUUAUGUUGCCAGCAUUUGGUUGGGGACUCAUGAGAGACUGCCGGGUCAACUCGGAGGAAG
RNAcentral lists this ribosomal RNA (889 nucleotides) under uncultured bacterium. Its description in RNAcentral is "bacterial SSU rRNA". It matches the Rfam family "Bacterial small subunit ribosomal RNA", at positions 271 to 1172 of the family's 1533-position model. The record is from RNAcentral.